AUUGCUAUAUGCAAGCCAAAAAAAUACGAAACAACGGAAAACUAGAAUAAUAGAUAAAUAAAUGGAAAAACUAAUGCAAGCAAAACGAGAAAUUAAUUAUACUUACCAAAAACAUACAUUAAAUUAUUUAGAGCAGAAGAACAAGGACGAUGUUGCUGUCGUGCUUAGUACAGAAUUUGUAAAUAUAUAGAAUAAACUUUUCCCUCACAAUAAGUCAGGUCAAUGAACUUUUGCGUCUUUUGCGAAAAGACACCAAAGGUUUAAAAAAAACACACACAAUAGAAGUUGUUCCACUUCCCAGAUGGUUCCGUUGAACCAGAAAGGGAGAAUAGAACAAUGAAUAUAGAGAUAAUCAGCCGAAUUUAUGAUGAGAAUAACCAGUAGAAUAAAUUGAAUUGUAAGAACCUGGAAAAAAAAGGAUUAAUUAGAAUAUUUAGAAAAUACGGAAUUGGUAUACUUACAUUUGACAAAUUAAGCUCCAUAGUAUUUCCUCAGAUGCAUAUUUCAUUCGAUAAUUCAUUCCACCCAUAAGAUUAGCAAUAGAGGCCAAAGCAGUCCUGUUCGCGGCCACAGCCUCAAACCAAUUAAAAAUCAUUUGAAUUUCAUUACAACAAUAGCCCGGCUCGUAACAUUUGGCAGAAGCCUGAGAGAAGAGAGAUAGUUGAACUGGUAUGUGAAUUUCCCAUCAGUGUGUGAUGGGGUUGAUAUUUGAGAAAUUAGAUCAUUUUUCUCGAAUCGAAUAUGCACGUACAGGUACAUUUUUCGAUGAAGGAAUAUGAUAGUAUUGGCUAUCACUUCGGGUGAUGUUUGUUCCCAAUAAAUGUAUUGGGGUUGAUUUAUCGGAAAAAAGCUAUAAAGCAAUAGAUGAUCAGUAUCAAACUGGUUUCGGGUCGGUUCGGUUUAUAAUUCGAUCUCUCGGGUGCAAAAUUAACUUGAAAAGUCCAGACAAAUCUCCAUAUUUGCAUGCAAUAGUAAGUAAAGUUCAAGUUCAAAGUUUAAGUUCAAAGUUAGGUUUUCGGAAGAAUUAAUGAUGAAGAAUAAUAGUGAAAAAAAAUUAUUGGCGUAAUUUUUUUUGGGAAGAGUGGGAAGUAAUGAAACGAGCAACGUUCGUUUCAAAAGAGAAACGAUAAGUUUCUGUAGGUGAGGUGUUCGAUUCGAGCAGUGCAAUCUCGUUGAUCGUGUAUAAGGUAAUAAUGUGGGUGAUUAGUUCGUAGAGUAAUGCCAACCUGAAAUAUUAGUACUAAAAUUAAGGAAUCCGGAAAUAUGACGUAAAUGGAAUAAGUACUAAAAAAGAAAUGAUAGGUUUCGUGAAGUGAAGAAAUAGCACUCUCGGUCUUUUCCUUUUAGACAGCCGAGUGAUAAGGUUUAAAAAAAAAAAAAAGUUUUAAGUGAGAAAGUGCGAUCUAGCAGUAUUAUUAAGUAAUUAAAGAAAAAAAUAUGCAAGUGUUAAGUGAUUCUAAAACCAAAUUUAAUUAUUUCCAGAGGUGAUUUUAUUUCUAAUUUCUGGAUCGCAAUUAGUGAGUCGAACCGUGUAGCGAAAAUAGAGCGAUUCGAGUAAGUUAAUAACCUUAAAAGUGAAGAAGCAAAAUCUUAAGUAAUUCCUUUAAAACAGAAGUCGGAGAAGUUAUUCAAGAAAUUAUAUCGCGUAAUCAGUGUGCAAAUAUCGAGCAAGAAGAGAGUGCCCACGUGCCGGCGGAGUGCCGAAGUCUUUGGGGUUGGUGUCGGAUAGGCAUCGGAUCGGCAUCGCUCGUUCGUCGAAUCCGAAACAUUUGAGGGCUAGUGACGGAAGCAUUGGGAACCUGCCUAGGUGCGCACUAUAGCCUUGUGGCUGCGCGCCGCGAUAGUCCACCUGGAGAGCGUCGGCCAGCGGUAAAAAUCUCGGCCUCGCAUUCUCACGCUCCUCCCAGGAGGUUCAGCGAGUGGUCUAGAAGGGAAAGGAUCGCCACGCCAGCGAGGUUACC
This is a long non-coding RNA of Aedes albopictus (Asian tiger mosquito), 1961 nucleotides long. RefSeq lists it as uncharacterized. The transcript is spliced from 2 exons. Lineage: Eukaryota; Metazoa; Arthropoda; Insecta; Diptera; Culicidae. The record is from RefSeq and is a predicted model, not a curated record.